RNAcentral lists this ribosomal RNA (499 nucleotides) under uncultured bacterium. RNAcentral's name for it is "partial 16S ribosomal RNA". It matches the Rfam family "Bacterial small subunit ribosomal RNA", at positions 28 to 507 of the family's 1533-position model. The record is from RNAcentral.
GACGAACGCUGGCGGCGUGCCUAAUACAUGCAAGUCGAGCGAAGUUUUUCUGGUGCUUGCACCGGAAAAACUUAGCGGCGAACGGGUGAGUAACACGUAAAGAACCUGCCUCAUAGACUGGGACAACUAUUGGAAACGAUAGCUAAUACCGGAUAACAGCAUUAACUGCAUGGUUGAUGUUUAAAAGUUGGUUUUGCUAACACUAUGAGAUGGCUUUGCGGUGCAUUAGCUAGUUGGUGGGGUAAAGUCCUACCAAGGCGACGAUGCAUAGCCGACCUGAGAGGGUGAUCGGCCACACUGGGACUGAGACACGGCCCAGACUCCUACGGGAGGCAGCAGUAGGGAAUCUUCCGCAAUGGGCGAAAGCCUGACGGAGCAACGCCGCGUGAGUGAAGAAGGAUUUCGGUUCGUAAAGCUCUGUUGUUAGGGAAGAAUGAUUGUGUAGUAACUAUACACAGUAGAGACGGUACCUAACCAGAAAGCCACGGCUAACUACGUG